AUAGGGCAGAAAUUUGAAUGAUGC
Molecule: non-coding RNA, 24 nt
Filed under: Arabidopsis thaliana (thale cress)
Lineage: Eukaryota; Viridiplantae; Streptophyta; Magnoliopsida; Brassicales; Brassicaceae
Source: RNAcentral